CAGCCCGGUAAUUCCAGCUCCAAUAGCGUAUAUUAAAGUUGUUGCAGUUAAAAAGCUCGUAGUUGAAUUUCGGGAUCGACGGGUCGGUCGCGCCUCUGGUGUGUACUGGCCCUGUCGGUUUCUCCCUUCUGACGAACCACGAUGUCAUUAAUUUGGUGUCGUGGGAAAUCAGGACUGUUACUUUGAAAAAAUUAGAGUGUUUAAAGCAGGCAUUCGCUUGAAUACAUUAGCAUGGAAUAAUGAAAUAGGACGUUUGAUCUUAUUUUGUUGGUUUCUAAGAUCGACGUAAUGAUUAAUAGGGAUAGUUGGGGGCAUUAGUAUUCAAUUGUCAGAGGUGAAAUUCUUGGAUUUAUUGAAGACUAACUACUGCGAAAGCAUUUGCCAAGGAUGUUUUCAUUAAUCAAGAACGAAAGUUAGGGGAUCGAAGACGAUCAGAUACCGUCGUAGUCUUAACCAUAAACUAUGCCGACUAGGGAUCGGAUGAUGUUAAUUUUUUAAUGACUCAUUCGGCGCCUUACG
Molecule: unclassified non-coding RNA, 519 nt
Filed under: uncultured Glomeromycotina
Lineage: Eukaryota; Fungi; Glomeromycota
Description: SSU rRNA
Rfam family: Eukaryotic small subunit ribosomal RNA
Source: RNAcentral